Molecule: ribosomal RNA, 429 nt
Filed under: Chloroflexota bacterium
Lineage: Bacteria; Bacillati; Chloroflexota
Description: Chloroflexi bacterium partial 16S ribosomal RNA
Rfam family: Bacterial small subunit ribosomal RNA
Source: RNAcentral
UAGGGAAUCUUCGGCAAUGGACGAAAGUCUGACCGAGCAACGCCGCGUGAGUGAAGAAGGUUUUCGGAUCGUAAAACUCUGUUGUUAGAGAAGAACAAGGACGUUAGUAACUGAACGUCCCCUGAUGGUAUCUAACCAGAAAGCCACGGCUAACUACGUGCCAGCAGCCGCGGUAAUACGUAGGUGGCAAGCGUUGUCCGGAUUUAUUGGGCGUAAAGCGAGCGCAGGCGGUUUCUUAAGUCUGAUGUGAAAGCCCCCGGCUCAACCGGGGAAGGUCAUUGGAAACUGGGAGACUUGAGUGCAGAAGAGGAGAGUGGAAUUCCAUGUGUAGCGGUGAAAUGCGUAGAUAUAUGGAGGAACACCAGUGGCGAAGGCGGCUCUCUGGUCUGUAACUGACGCUGAGGCUCGAAAGCGUGGGGAGCAAACAGG